GGGUUCUUCUUCCGCAAAUUCUAAACAACAAGAUCUAAUCAACAACUUUUUGGCUGCCAAUCCGGCUUUAAAAAAUAAAAGAGAAUCCGUAAAGGCAAGACUUCACCGACUGGAUAACAAGAAAUAUCCUGUAAAGACCCUAAAAAGGCGCAAAGAAACUUUUAAACCUAAAGUAUUUACCUAUGUUAUCUCCUUUUCUGCGCUACAUAUUCUAGGCAAACCUUGGUUAUCAAAAGAGGACAUUCUGUGAAAUAAUGAAAUACAUGAAACACCCUCAAAAGCAACUACUUAAAAAAUAACAUCAAGUCAUAAAAUAGUAACCGGUGGUAAUACUAGUAGUAGUAUAAAAAAAUAAAAAUAAUAAUAAGAUAUUAGUAAUGAUAGCUGGAAUAGUAGAUGUUAUAAACGUAAAAUUCCAUUCACCAACCCAAUGCUAGACAACAACCGUCUACCCAACCAGAAUUGGGUAAAAUGGAAACAAGACACAACCUCUGAAGAAAUAGUCAAAAAACGUGCAACCCCGGAAGGGCCACUGACGCGUAAAGUAAAAAUUCUCCCUAUCGUUCUCGUUAACAAGAAAAUGUGGCCUACGCUAGUGGAAACGCUGUACGCAUAGAGUGCAAAUGUCCCUUCUACCCGUGGUCACCGCGACGGCAUCCGCCUGUUGCCGUCAACUGUCGAGCAGAAUAGUAGCACUACUGGGAGCGCUCUUGGCAACACCACUGCUACCAGUUACUCGAGGGCCAUUCUUCGAGGUCUUUGCACCGAUCUACCUAUAGUCGACAUUUAAACGGCGUUACGUGCUUAGGGAUUUUCACCCCUCCGCUUCACGACUUCACCCAACCGACGAGAACCGCAUUAAGCGACUACUACCGACAGAUAAGCGUUUAACCACCUCGUAAGAGUGGUCGCAUGAAACAAUGUUAUCGCUGUCAGCGCUUCUACCACAGCGCACAGAACUGCGCCAUCACUGCACGCUGCUUCAAGUGUGGGGAAAAACACUAACGAUACAAUAUGAGGGAGUUGCCGGUCAAAUGCGCUAAUUUUGGCGAGGCACGCGAAGCGAAUUACCGAAGGUGUGUCAAAGAUUCUCGAAAAAUCGUUUCUCCGCCGUCGACAUGUCAACGACCCACGGAGACGCAGUCAUUAACGACCAGGACCACCUCAUGCAUCGCAACCCGCUCAAUGACAAAGACCUCUUGCUCCAAAUCCCAUCGGCGAGAUACUGGCACCACUAGCAGCUGCUCUUGAAACAUUUCUUCGAGCAUUAGCAAUCUGAUGACACGCAAAUGGUUUCUAGGACCCGUUCAUUAUGCCACCUGAAACUCUUACAGUGGAAUGCCAAGGGUGUGCACUGUAAAAAGGACGAACUGCUACAGCUUGUUGCAGAGUGGAGAUGCGACUGUCGCGUUGUUAAGCGGGACGCACUUGAGAGCGGGGCCAUCGGCUUGUACUUUGCAACUACACAACGUGCCGCCUUGACCGUCUUUGCAGAUGCGACGGUGAAGUAUCUAUUCUGGUCGGCGAAAAUCUACCGCACCACCCGAUUGCAAUCUCAAACCUAAAGGGCGUGGAGACCGUGGGGAUAUGUCUCAGCUGGUUACCACGAAACCGACAGACGUGAUAUCUGUCUAUAAACCUUCCGACAUGGCUCUGCUUACAAGUGAUCAGGACAAGCCUUACAACGGCGCUCGCCCGUCGUUCUUUGUAGUGACUUUAACUGCAAACACACUGCUUGAAACAGUCGACUUGAAAAUUCAAACGGAAAAAUUCUUGAGAAAUAUGAGGACCAAAACAAAUUCGCGUGAUGGUAUACCUCAACAUCCCACUCACAUGACUGAGUCGGGCAAUUCAGACGUCCUCGACAAAACCAUUUUAAAAGAUAUACACUAGUAGGUAUCAAUCGCAGAGUUGCAUGAGCUCUCAUUGGCCCACCUGCCUUCUUAUAGGACCUAAGAGAAAGGCAAAGCUACAGCGAAACUAGGGGACACGGUUAUUCACGGACUGGAAAAAAUUUACAGCUGCCUUUAAAGCAAAGCUAACCGACCCCCUCCCUAUAGAGGAGACAGGUGUCCAUGCUCCGCGAAGUCGUAUAUCGCCCUGGCCCUCUCUAGAUUAUUUGGUGAGCCUUAUUCGUGAACGACGCCGGUUAAUACUCCUGCCCGCUUCUACACAAAACCCCCAAGACAAACUAAUUCUAAACCGUCUUCAGUGAUGCAUAAGGAAGGAGCUGGUGCCUUUCACAAUAAUCUCUGAAAGCCAAAAAAAAACGACGUGCCUGUAUCGGCCGAAGAAAAACGAUCAUUUUUUUUGGCGCCUCGUAAAACAUAUCAAAAAACCGUUAGCACACAACAUACCCACCACUUAUUUAUGGCGUGAUAGCGGCGGAAAGCGACCAAGACAAGGCGACGCACUUUUUCGACAUCUAGCUGAUUGCGGAUCUCUAAUUUAGAUAACUUUUGAGAACGAAAGCAAAACACCGCAGGAUCUCCGAUCUUUUUAACGGAGUUAUCAAAUAGAGCACACCUAAGAAAACACUGAUAUAGUUUCUGCAUUUUCCCGAAGGAAAGCACCCAGCCCUAACGGUAUCUCUGUUUUGCAACUUCUGCAACGUCGCCUGGGUCCUACCCAACGCGAUGGAAAACGACCGCUGUCGUGAUGCUACCUAAGACCCCGCGGGCCUCAAUGGAUCUCAGCAAAUAUCGCCCCUUUAAGUGGGCAAAACCGUUGAGGCAGUUUUACUACACAGACUGGGAGAGUUUGUAAAACAUACAAGGCGCUUCCAGAAUUUCAAUUCAGGUUCCAAAAAGACCACCCGACGGCACAACAACUUUUGCAGUUUAUUGAAUGGCCGACUCGGAACUUCAAUUUUAAGAAAUCCACGGGGGCCGUCUUUCUCGACUUUGAAAAGGCCUUGAAACGCAAAUGCCACGAGAUUCUCCUUCGCAAACUACGCACAUUAGGUAUCCCCUUAGCCCUCAACGCAUACGUGCGUCGUUUUUAUGCGGCGCACGUUUUGACUUAGAGUUGGGGGUGCUGUCGCCUACCAUCGGCUGACAUCUAAUGUUCCGCAAGGCUCUCUACUCUUACCCCCCUCUUCGCGCUAUACCUGCGAGACAGUUCACUCUCUGCGAAACCCUCACACCCGCUUUCCACGCUAUGCCGGUGACACUGCAAAGUACGCCACCUCAAAGAGUCCCUCAUUAUUACGGCAAGGCAACACCUACAGUGUUAUUUGGAAACAUUCGCUAACUGGUAUCGUCAGUGGGAAGUAACCGUUAAUUAUAUGAAGAGCAAAGCGAUUCUCAUUUAAAGAAGUUGCAUAAUGCUACCCCCGCCUUUUACUUCUGGAAGAUAGGGCUCUCAGGCCAAAAACUUGGGCGCCGUCAUCGAUAAGAAUAACUUGGCGGUCACACGUAGCGUUCGUCACGACUAAGGUCAAAAGCAGCCAAUUAACGCACACCACCCACUGCUGUGUGCUAAAAGCACAACGUCCCUGCGCAAUAAACUGCGCCUUUAUAAAGUAUGCGUGCGCCAUAUUAUGACUAUGCAUCUGUUGCUUGGACAUAAGAAAAACGUCGACGAGUGCACCCCCUAGUCUAAGCAAAAUUAAAAGCCCUUGGGAUUAAUGACCGAUACCUUAUUUCGUGCGGAACGAAAAGUUGCACGGCGACCUAGGCAUCCCAAACCACCACUAAAUUCAAGAACUUAUAUACGGACCCUGGGAAGGCUCACGCUUUCGAAGGCCCUGCGCACAAUUACAGUUUUUUUACACCUUUUUUUUUUAACAAAUAUGUAGAAACGUUUAUUGCGUGAUAACCUACCAAAAUUCAUUAUGGUCUAAGCCUAAUAAUAUAUACUAUUUGCGAGAUCAAGCAGUCUGCGCGCCGAUAUUACCGAGUACCGCAUAACAUUAAAAAAAAUAUAAGAAUGUAUGUAUAUAGUGUAAUAAAUCAAAAGCCCUGUAGACAAAAAGUGGUUUCAUUACCUUAUUAGACUUUUAAACUAUUUAAUAAGUUCCAGCAGCUAGGAAGGAGCUUCAUUAAACG
This is a long non-coding RNA of Zophobas morio, 4049 nucleotides long. RefSeq lists it as uncharacterized. The record is from RefSeq and is a predicted model, not a curated record. The transcript is spliced from 4 exons. NCBI's taxonomy places the organism in Eukaryota, Metazoa, Arthropoda, Insecta, Coleoptera, Tenebrionidae.